Molecule: ribosomal RNA, 253 nt
Filed under: uncultured bacterium
Lineage: Bacteria
Description: partial 16S ribosomal RNA
Rfam family: Bacterial small subunit ribosomal RNA
Source: RNAcentral
UACGUAGGGGGCAAGCGUUAUCCGGAUUUACUGGGUGUAAAGGGAGCGUAGACGGCAGCGCAAGUCUGGAGUGAAAUGCCGGGGCCCAACCCCGGAACUGCUUUGGAAACUGUGCAGCUCGAGUGCAGGAGGGGUAAGCGGAAUUCCUAGUGUAGCGGUGAAAUGCGUAGAUAUUAGGAGGAACACCAGUGGCGAAGGCGGCUUACUGGACUGUAACUGACGUUGAGACUCGAAAGCGUGGGGAGCAAACAGG